Molecule: ribosomal RNA, 253 nt
Filed under: uncultured bacterium
Lineage: Bacteria
Description: partial 16S ribosomal RNA
Rfam family: Bacterial small subunit ribosomal RNA
Source: RNAcentral
UACGAAGGGGGCUAGCGUUGUCCGGAAUUAUUGGGCGUAAAGAGCUCGUAGGCGGCUUGUCACGUCGGGUGUGAAAGCUCGGGGCUUAACCCCGGGUCUGCAUUCGAUACGGGCUGGCUGGAGUGUGGUAGGGGAGAUCGGAAUUCCUGGUGUAGCGGUGAAAUGCGCAGAUAUCAGGAGGAACACCGGUGGCGAAGGCGGCAUCCUGGACCGGCAUUGACGCUGAGGAGCGAAAGCCAGGGGAGCAAACGGG